UAGUCCGGUAAGAUUCCGGAGUCCAUGUUUUAUGGAUAACGCUUAUACUUAUGACGGAGUUACGAGAAGCCGUUGCUUCACUCUGAAAUCAUAAGCGCAAGCCAAGCGCGAAAGACUUGGAA
This 122-nucleotide non-coding RNA is filed under the name unclassified sequences. RNAcentral describes it as "RAGATH-36 RNA". It matches the Rfam family "RAGATH-36 RNA". Rfam says of the family: Environmental. Nearby to self-cleaving ribozyme genes The record is from Rfam by way of RNAcentral.